CGUAGUAAGACGGCAGCUCGCACAGUUCUGCCGUGUUUGGGUUGCAGCCACAACACAGAUUUCCACAUACUUCUACAGUACCCACGUGCCUCACAAAGUUCACCACAGAUGUCCUGCAAUGGGGCACAGGGUGAUAAGUGACUCGCCCAAGGUCAGACAAGAAGUCUGUGGCAGGGCAGGGAACUGAAUGUGAAUCUCCUGAGUUGCAGGCUAGUUCCUCAGGCUUAUUUAAACCCCAAAGAUUUGUUUCCAUGGAUGCUAAGGAGAGUGGAAGGGUUCCUACUAAGGGUUUUAUGAAGCCACUUUUGCUUAAAAGUGAACCCAAAUCUUGCACUGAGCCUACCCGAGAGAACCCAUUGAACACACACAAGUACACCAACAUAGAGCAUGCUUGGUGAGCCAAGCCCACAAAGAGGAAGGAAAUUUUCAGUUAAAGAGCCUCUGCACCUCAGGAAGCUAAUGAGCAUAACAGGCUUCUACUAUGCAAAUGUUCUUUUAUUGCAUUUCCUUUUCCAUCACGGUGAAUUACCGAGCUCUGUGUCUAAAUGUUGGAAGAGAUUUUGCUUUUGCAUAAUCACUUCCACGUGGGUGAACAAAUCCCGCCACAAGCAUCAGACUGUGGAAUUACGCAGCCCACAACGAAGAGCAGUCAGAGUGGAAAUGAGACAGCCACUGAGCCAGCUUUCAGCUGACUUUGGCCAAAUCACUGCACACACCGUGCCUCAGUUUCCCUCACCUAUAUGACUGAGUUGAUCAUCACUCACCUCCCAGGACCAUUGAAGUUGUGAACCCAGGCACUGGAAUCAUCCCCACACCCAUCCAAAAGGACUUUCAAAAUCAGAUCGGCCAUCAAGGAACAUCCCAAUAUAGAGAACUGGUUACUGGCCCUGUUGCACCAUGGAAAUGCUAUGGGCAAGGAAGCUUGUCCUGUGGACUUGGAAGCUGAAUGAAGGAAAUAAAACUAAGUCAGGAAAUUUUUUCCAUCUUUUUUGACUGUUUGAACUCUGACAAGGCUAGAGACAAACUGAAGCCAGAGAUCCUGGGUCCGUCCUGAGACACACUUUGAAUUGACAGAUCACUACAACUCUGUCACUCUUAGGAUUUAGAUGAUAACUCACUUGCGUGUGUAUGUUUGCUUGCUUUAACCUGUAAAUAACUCAUUUCUUUUUCCCAGUUAAUAAACCUUUAGAGAGUUUAUUACAGGAUUGGCUACAGGUGUUGUCUUUGAUGUAAGAUCAAGAGUACCAGCUGAUUUGGGGCAAGUGACUGGUCUCUUGGGACUGGAAGCAACCUGAACAUUUGGUGUAAGUGACCACUUAUCAGUACGCCCAGUUUGUCUGGGUGGCAAGAUGGACUGGAGAGUCUCAGAGGACUGU
This is a long non-coding RNA of Mauremys mutica (yellowpond turtle), 1376 nucleotides long. RefSeq lists it as uncharacterized. The record is from RefSeq and is a predicted model, not a curated record. Lineage: Eukaryota; Metazoa; Chordata; Testudines; Geoemydidae. The transcript has 3 exons.